Dermacentor albipictus is the source of this 478-nucleotide long non-coding RNA. RefSeq lists it as uncharacterized. NCBI's taxonomy places the organism in Eukaryota, Metazoa, Arthropoda, Arachnida, Ixodida, Ixodidae. The record is from RefSeq and is a predicted model, not a curated record.
AUCUCGCUGUGGCAAACGAGUGCCCAUUUUUAUGCUUGAAUGUUUGCAGAGUUAUUUUUGAUGUUUAGAAUGUUUUCUGUGAUUUCUUUUCGUGUGCUCUAGUACGCUGUAGUUUCGUGUGUUAUUUGCGCUUGUCAUACAUGGCGUCGGUCGCCCCCUUUGUUCCCUCUUGAGCGUUAGCGCCAUUUUGUCUCAAUCCUCGGUAAUCCUUCAGCCCUCAUUGCCAUCGGUGCCCCAAAGCCUGCCCUGUCGACGGUUCUUGGUGCUACGAACAUGAUAAUGGUGCUGCUAUCUGGAGGUGUCCCCGAGUAGUGUUAACGUAACGCUCCUAAAUCGGCCGGAGCGCGGGGGCCCGUGUCUACGGUGUAGGGCUCGCGCUGUGUCGCCCAUGUCGAUGGAUGUUAACGCUGCUUUCAUUUCCGACAGGUGUGCCCAGCUCAUCACACCAGGAACUUGAUGCGCAGCGCUGGCACAAUGG